GAUGAACGCUGGCGGCGUGCCUAAUACAUGCAAGUCGAGCGAACGGACGAGAAGCUUGCUUCUCUGAUGUUAGCGGCGGACGGGUGAGUAAGACGUGGAUAACCUACCUAUAAGACUGGGAUAACUUCGGGAAACCGGAUCUAAUACCGGAUAAUAUUAUGAACCGGAUGGUUCAAAAGUGAAAGACGGUCUUGCUGUCACUUAUAGAUGGAUCCGGGUUGCAUUAGCUAGUUGGUAAGGUAACGGCUUACCAAGGCAACGAUGCAUAGCCGACCUGAGAGGAUGAUCGGCCACACUGGAACUGAGACACGGUCCAGACUCCUACGGGAGGCAGCAGUAGGGAAUAUUCCGCAAUGGGCGAAAGCCUGACGCAGCCACGCCGCGUGAGUGAUGAAGGUCUUCGGAUCGUAAAGCUCUGUUAUUAGGGAAGAACAUAUGUGUAAGUAACUGUGCACAUCUUGACGGUACCUAAUCAGAAAGCCACGGCUAACUACGUG
RNAcentral lists this ribosomal RNA (497 nucleotides) under uncultured bacterium. Its description in RNAcentral is "partial 16S ribosomal RNA". It matches the Rfam family "Bacterial small subunit ribosomal RNA", at positions 28 to 507 of the family's 1533-position model. The record is from RNAcentral.